AUUCACCUGAGUUGAGUAUGACU
Molecule: ribosomal RNA, 23 nt
Filed under: Aphelenchoides fragariae
Lineage: Eukaryota; Metazoa; Nematoda; Chromadorea; Rhabditida; Aphelenchoididae
Description: partial 26S ribosomal RNA
Source: RNAcentral